CUACGGGCUGCACCAGUUAGGGAACUUUUACAAUGCACGCAAGUGUGAUAAAGCAAGCCAGAGUGUUUUUCAUAAUUGAGAAACUUUUGUCUGUUGUAAAAAGACAGACGAAUAAGGACUGGGAGAGACCGGUGCCAGCCGCCGCGGUAAUAACGGCGGUCCAAGUUGCAACCAUGAUUAUUGGGUCUAAAACAUCCGUAGCUUAUUUAGUAAGUUUCUUGUGAAAUCUUGUCUCUUAAGGGCAAGGCGAGCAAGAAAUACUGCUAAGUUAGAGACUGGAAGGAGUGAGAAGUACGAUUAAGGUAAUGGUAAAAUAUGUUAAUCUUGAUUGGACUAACAAUAGCGAAGGCAUCUCACUAGUACAGAUCUGACAGUGAGGGAUGAAGGCCAGGGUCGCAAAACGGAUUAGAUACCCGGGUAGUC
This 423-nucleotide ribosomal RNA is filed under the name uncultured archaeon. RNAcentral describes it as "partial 16S ribosomal RNA". It matches the Rfam family "Archaeal small subunit ribosomal RNA", at positions 323 to 746 of the family's 1478-position model. The record is from RNAcentral.